GUGAGGAAUAUUGGUCAAUGGGCGAGAGCCUGAACCAGCCAAGUCGCGUGAAGGAAGAAGGAUCUAUGGUUCGUAAACUUCUUUUGCAGGGGAAUAAAGUGCGGGACGUGUCCUGUUUUGUAUGUACCCUGAGAAUAAGGAUCAGCUAACUCCGUGCCAGCAGCCGCGGUAAUACGGAGGAUCCGAGCGUUAUCCGGAUUUAUUGGGUUUAAAGGGUGCGUAGGUGGUUUGAUAAGUCAGCGGUGAAAGUUUGCAGCUUAACUGUAAAAAUGCCGUUGAAACUGUCGGACUUGAGUGUAAAUGAGGUAGGCGGAAUGCGUGGUGUAGCGGUGAAAUGCAUAGAUAUCACGCAGAACUCCGAUUGCGAAGGCAGCUUACUAAGCUACAACUGACACUGAAGCACGAAAGCGUGGGGAUCAAACAGGAUUAGAAACCCGUGUAGUCC
RNAcentral lists this ribosomal RNA (445 nucleotides) under uncultured bacterium. RNAcentral describes it as "partial 16S ribosomal RNA". It matches the Rfam family "Bacterial small subunit ribosomal RNA", at positions 354 to 796 of the family's 1533-position model. The record is from RNAcentral.